This 424-nucleotide long non-coding RNA is filed under the name Mytilus galloprovincialis (Mediterranean mussel). The record is from RNAcentral. Lineage: Eukaryota; Metazoa; Mollusca; Bivalvia; Mytilida; Mytilidae.
CUGUUUCAAAUGUUUUAUUCAAACAUUCCUUUCUUUGGCUUUGUUAGUUUUUGGAUAUUUUUGUCAUUUGUCAGGUUUUAUUUUCAUUUACUAUUUUCUCUUAUUUACUUAUUUGUUUGUUUAUUUUUUCUUUGUAGGUAUCACUCAGUGUAUGUAUUUUGAAUUUUUUAUUGUUUUUGUUUUUCUUUUCUUUCAAGUGUUUAUUUGUGUUGAUUUUGGAAUGCUAGAAGAUUUCAGACGAGUGCAAUGUAUUAUCAUAACAUAAGCUUGGGCAAAUUUAGCUUAACAGAGAUACAUUUGCCUGUUUUACAGCCACCCCGACAGCGCUGCGGUGAACAUGGCCUUGACCACCAUUUGCAAUUGCAAUUCAUUAUUGUACUGCUUUCCUGAUGUUAACUUCGAUUAUUUAUUGAGAGAACAUCAU